Molecule: ribosomal RNA, 253 nt
Filed under: uncultured bacterium
Lineage: Bacteria
Description: partial 16S ribosomal RNA
Rfam family: Bacterial small subunit ribosomal RNA
Source: RNAcentral
GACAGAGGGUGCAAACGUUGUUCGGAAUUACUGGGCGUAAAGCGCGUGUAGGCUGCUUCGCAAGUCGGAUGUGAAAGCCCUGGGCUCAACCCAGGAAGUGCAUUCGAAACUGCAGAGCUGGAGUCCUGGAGAGGAAGGCGGAAUUCUCGGUGUAGAGGUGAAAUUCGUAGAUAUCGAGAGGAACACAGGUGGCGAAGGCGGCCUUCUGGACAGUGACUGACGCUGAGACGCGAAAGCGUGGGGAGCAAACAGG